UCACCCCUCAAGCCCCCCGGCUUGGUGUUGGACGGUUUGGCGGAGGCCCCCUCUCGGGGGGCUCUCGCCCGUCCCAAAGACAAUGACGGCGGCCUCGUUGGACCCCCGGUACACUGAGUUCUUCACGGGACACGUAUCGGACACACGGGUGCACGAGCCCCGGUCGGCCUCCCCUCGGGGAGAAUCUUUUCUCAAAA
Molecule: unclassified non-coding RNA, 197 nt
Filed under: uncultured Fonsecaea
Lineage: Eukaryota; Fungi; Ascomycota
Description: sequence contains ITS2
Source: RNAcentral